UGUUUCGGCUAGGGGGCCAUCCCGGCUUACCAACCCGAUGCAAACUGCGAAUACCGGAGAAUGUUAUCACGGGAGACACACGGCGGGUGCUAACGUCCGUCGUGAAGAGGGAAACAACCCAGACCGCCAGCUAAGGUCCCAAAGUCAUGGUUAAGUGGGAAACGAUGUGGGAAGGCCCAGACAGCCAGGAUGUUGGCUUAGAAGCAGCCAUCAUUUAAAGAAAGCGUAAUAGCUCACUGGUCGAGUCGGCCUGCGCGGAAGAUGUAACGGGGCUAAACCAUGCACCGAAGCUGCGGCAGCGACACUGUGUGUUGUUGGGUAGGGGAGCGUUCUGUAAGCCUGUGAAGGUGUGUCGUGAGGCAUGCUGGAGGUAUCAGAAGUGCGAAUGCUGACAUAAGUAACGAUAAAGCGGGUGAAAAGCCCGCUCGCCGGAAGACCAAGGGUUCCUGUCCAACGUUAAUCGGGGCAGGGUGAGUCGACCCCUAAGGCGAGGCCGAAAGGCGUAGUCGAUGGGAAACGGGUUAAUAUUCCCGUACUUGGUGUUACUGCGAAGGGGGGACGGAGAAGGCUAUGUUGGCCGGGCGACGGUUGUCCCGGUUUAAGCGUGUAGGUGUGUGUUCCAGGUAAAUCCGGUUCACUUUAACACUGAGGCGUGACGACGAGGCACUACGGUGCUGAAGCAACAAAUGCCCUGCUUCCAGGAAAAGCCUCUAAGCAUCAGGUAACAUCAAAUCGUACCCCAAACCGACACAGGUGGUCAGGUAGAGAAUACCAAGGCGCUUGAGAGAACUCGGGUGAAGGAACUAGGCAAAAUGGUGCCGUAACUUCGGGAGAAGGCACGCUGACACGUAGGUGAAGUGAUUUACUCAUGGAGCUGAAGUCAGUCGAAGAUACCAGCUGGCUGCAACUGUUUAUUAAAAACACAGCACUGUGCAAACACGAAAGUGGACGUAUACGGUGUGACGCCUGCCCGGUGCCGGAAGGUUAAUUGAUGGGGUCAGCGCAAGCGAAGCUCCUGAUCGAAGCCCCGGUAAACGGCGGCCGUAACUAUAACGGUCCUAAGGUAGCGAAAUUCCUUGUCGGGUAAGUUCCGACCUGCACGAAUGGCGUAAUGAUGGCCAGGCUGUCUCCACCCGAGACUCAGUGAAAUUGAACUCGCUGUGAAGAUGCAGUGUACCCGCGGCAAGACGGAAAGACCCCGUGAACCUUUACUAUAGCUUGACACUGAACAUUGAGCCUUGAUGUGUAGGAUAGGUGGGAGGCUUUGAAGUGUGGACGCCAGUCUGCAUGGAGCCGACCUUGAAAUACCACCCUUUAAUGUUUGAUGUUCUAACGUGGACCCGUUACCCGGGUUGCGGACAGUGUCUGGUGGGUAGUUUGACUGGGGCGGUCUCCUCCUAAAGAGUAACGGAGGAGCACGAAGGUUGGCUAAUCCUGGUCGGACAUCAGGAGGUUAGUGCAAUGGCAUAAGCCAGCUUGACUGCGAGCGUGACGGCGCGAGCAGGUGCGAAAGCAGGUCAUAGUGAUCCGGUGGUUCUGAAUGGAAGGGCCAUCGCUCAACGGAUAAAAGGUACUCCGGGGAUAACAGGCUGAUACCGCCCAAGAGUUCAUAUCGACGGCGGUGUUUGGCACCUCGAUGUCGGCUCAUCACAUCCUGGGGCUGAAGUAGGUCCCAAGGGUAUGGCUGUUCGCCAUUUAAAGUGGUACGCGAGCUGGGUUUAGAACGUCGUGAGACAGUUCGGUCCCUAUCUGCCGUGGGCGCUGGAGAACUGAGGGGGGCUGCUCCUAGUACGAGAGGACCGGAGUGGACGCAUCACUGGUGUUCGGGUUGUCAUGCCAAUGGCACUGCCCGGUAGCUAAAUGCGGAAGAGAUAAGUGCUGAAAGCAUCUAAGCACGAAACUUGCCCCGAGAUGAGUUCUCCCUGAGACUUUAGGUCUCCUGAAGGAACGUUGAAGACGACGACGUUGAUAGGCCGGGUGUGUAAGCGCAGCGAUGCGUUGAGCUAACCGGUACUAAUGAACCGUGAGGCUUAACCUUACAACGCCGAAG
This 2050-nucleotide ribosomal RNA is filed under the name Salmonella enterica subsp. enterica serovar Enteritidis. RNAcentral describes it as "partial 23S ribosomal RNA". It matches the Rfam family "Bacterial large subunit ribosomal RNA", at positions 911 to 2925 of the family's 2925-position model. Lineage: Bacteria; Pseudomonadati; Pseudomonadota; Gammaproteobacteria; Enterobacterales; Enterobacteriaceae. The record is from RNAcentral.